Molecule: long non-coding RNA, 978 nt
Filed under: Vigna radiata
Lineage: Eukaryota; Viridiplantae; Streptophyta; Magnoliopsida; Fabales; Fabaceae
Description: long non-coding RNA (VRAD_LNC004312)
Source: RNAcentral
GUAUGCUCAAAAGGAGAAAAAGGAGCAGAGAUAAAAGCGCCUCCAUUAAAACGCGACAGCGAGAGGAGAUAAAAGAAAAAAAAAAACGGUUACACGUGUAGGAAAAAAUGAUGCAGGAAGGAGCGCGUAUCCGAACGCUCCCCACACGUGGGUGGUAAGCAUCUCUAAAACAUUUGGCGCGGUCAACGAUGUACGUUGACUGCACUGUGUUCAUUCAUGCACUAGCGCAUCAUCAUGGUAUGCUCUAUAAAGCGCCGCGCCGCCCCAGCCGCGAUAGAGAGCGUGGUGGCGGGGCCCACUGUCAACAUUAAUAAUUGCGAAGGGGGUCGAAAGAGGCCACAUCGCUGCUUCAAAAGGAGGACACGUGGAUCUGACACCAGCAACUACCGAAGAGGCGGCGUUUUCCUUGACGCCGUUUGCAUGUCUGCGUGCCGCGCUAACGGAGCGGUUGGCAGAGGUAACGGAGUUGGAUGGAGAAGAUGAUUACGAAGAAUUUGUCGGCACGCUCUGCCUCCUCGCCGCGUGAGAUGGAUGAAGAUCUGAAGAAUAAACUAGAAAAAGUGAAUGUGUUGAAAUCCGUCAGAUGAAUCAGACGGUGGAGAUGGGGCACAGUGAAACGGUGACACGUGGUGCUUUGGAUCCCUGGCGGGAGACACGCUUGUGCAUACGGCACCAUCCCAAAAUAUCAUCAUGUAUGUACUGCCGUCCUUCUUUUCUCUUCCACCACAGAUAUUAUUAUUAUAUUUAUUACUAAUUUAAUAUUAUAAAACACAAUUUCUGUGUAUUAUAAUAUUCAAAUAGUUUUUUUUUUUUUUUUUUAAUUUUCUGCCACAAUUCUUUUCAUAAAAAAUACAUGAGUCUCGGAACCCACAAUGCGUGAUCCUCCAAAUCUGAUGAAAAGUAAAAUAAAAAAGGGGGAAAUUUAAUUGAUAUCUUUUUUUUAUUAAACCAUCUGUAUGUUGUUUGAGAGCCCCUUAU